CACGUAGGGGGCAAGCGUUGUCCGGAUUUAUUGGGCGUAAAGAGCUCGUAGGCGGCUUAGUAAGUCGGGUGUGAAACCUCCAGGCUCAACCUGGAGACGCCACCCGAUACUGCUGUGGCUAGAGUCCGGUAGGGGAGCGUGGAAUUCCUGGUGUAGCGGUGAAAUGCGCAGAUAUCAGGAGGAACACCGGUGGCGAAGGCGGGUCUCUGGGCCGUAACUGACGCUGAGGAGCGAAAGCGUGGGGAGCGAACAGG
RNAcentral lists this ribosomal RNA (254 nucleotides) under uncultured bacterium. Its description in RNAcentral is "partial 16S ribosomal RNA". It matches the Rfam family "Bacterial small subunit ribosomal RNA", at positions 524 to 776 of the family's 1533-position model. The record is from RNAcentral.